This 823-nucleotide ribosomal RNA is filed under the name uncultured bacterium. RNAcentral describes it as "bacterial SSU rRNA". It matches the Rfam family "Bacterial small subunit ribosomal RNA", at positions 41 to 884 of the family's 1533-position model. The record is from RNAcentral.
GGCGUGCUUAACACAUGCAAGUCGAACGAUGAAGAGCAGCUUGCUGCUUGGAUUAGUGGCGCACGGGUGAGUAAUAUAUAGGUAAUGUGCCUCUUAGUCUGGGAUAGCCAUUGGAAACGAUGAUUAAUACUGGAUACUCCUUCUAACUCUAAUGUUAGUCGGGAAAGUUUUUCGCUAAGAGAUCAGCCUAUAUCCCAUCAGUUAGUUGGUAAGGUAACGGCUUACCAAGGCAAUGACGGGUAGCGGGUUUGAGAGGAUGAUCCGCCACACUGGUACUGAGACACGGACCAGACUCCUACGGGAGGCAGCAGUGAGGAAUAUUGCACAAUGGGGGAAACCCUGAUGCAGCAACGCCGCGUGGAGGAUGACGCAUUUCGGUGUGUAAACUCCUUUUAUAUGUCAAGAAAAUGACGGUAGCAUAUGAAUAAGCACCGGCUAACUCCGUGCCAGCAGCCGCGGUAAUACGGAGGGUGCAAGCGUUACUCGGAAUCACUGGGCGUAAAGGACGCGUAGGCGGAUUGGAAAGUCAGAUGUGAAAUCCUACAGCUUAACUGUAGAACUGCAUUUGAAACUUCUAAUCUAGAGUAUGGGAGGGGGAGAUGGAAUUAGUGGUGUAGGGGUAAAAUCCGUAGAUAUCACUAGGAAUACCGAAAGCGAAGGCGAUCUCCUGGAACAUUACUGACGCUAAGGCGUGAAAGCGUGGGGAGCAAACAGGAUUAGAUACCCUGGUAGUCCACGCCCUAAACGAUGAACACUAGUCGUCGGGAUGCUUGUCAUCUCGGUGAUGCACUUAACAGAUUAAGUGUUCCGCCUGGGGAGUACG